GUUUAUAGUGUUUAUUCCUUGACUUGUUGAUGUUCACUGGCAUCAGCAUGGGGGACUCAUGACACAGGGCACCCUGCCCCCCACCCGCAGCAAAGCAGAAGGCUGAUCCCCUCGGGCAGCAAGGGAAAGGCUCUGUUUACUGCAGCUGUGCCCGUUUUGGUGAGUAAAAGGGUCAGAGGACUUUUUGAGUGUUCCAGUCACAAUGCAGGACAUUUACUGAGCGAGGUUAAUAGCAAAUAUAUCAAACAUUUCAAAACUUAGGUUAGACAAUUAAUAUAAGGAUUCAGUAAACCAGAGCUCUUUUGAAUUGGUUCUCUAUUUCAUUCAAAAUAGGCUCUGACUGGGUAGGAAAGAGAAUCUGCUCAAAGUUGGCUUAUCAGUUAAUUAAUAGAUGAUGAUGUUGAAUAAGCAAGUAUAUGACAAGUGUUCAUUG
Molecule: long non-coding RNA, 433 nt
Filed under: Bos taurus (domestic cattle)
Lineage: Eukaryota; Metazoa; Chordata; Mammalia; Artiodactyla; Bovidae
Description: long non-coding RNA NONBTAT020412
Source: RNAcentral